UUAACCCAUUUAACAUCUCAAACCAUCAAAUUAAAUGAGUUAUGGGUUGACCCAACCCAUUUAACAAAAUGAGUUGGGUCAACCCAUAACUCAUUUAUUCCUAAAUAUAGAGUUGGGUU
RNAcentral lists this microRNA precursor (119 nucleotides) under Arabidopsis suecica. Its description in RNAcentral is "MIR405". It matches the Rfam family "MIR405 microRNA precursor family". The record is from RNAcentral. Lineage: Eukaryota; Viridiplantae; Streptophyta; Magnoliopsida; Brassicales; Brassicaceae.